RNAcentral lists this ribosomal RNA (1417 nucleotides) under Pediococcus sp. Its description in RNAcentral is "bacterial SSU rRNA". It matches the Rfam family "Bacterial small subunit ribosomal RNA", at positions 59 to 1433 of the family's 1533-position model. The record is from RNAcentral. Lineage: Bacteria; Bacillati; Bacillota; Bacilli; Lactobacillales; Lactobacillaceae.
CAGUCGACGAACUUCCGUUAAUUGAUUAUGACGUACUUGUACUGAUUGAGAUUUUAACACGAAGUGAGUGGCGAACGGGUGAGUAACACGUGGGUAACCUGCCCAGAAGUAGGGGAUAACACCUGGAAACAGAUGCUAAUACCGUAUAACAGAGAAAACCGCAUGGUUUUCUUUUAAAAGAUGGCUCUGCUAUCACUUCUGGAUGGACCCGCGGCGUAUUAGCUAGUUGGUGAGGUAAAGGCUCACCAAGGCAGUGAUACGUAGCCGACCUGAGAGGGUAAUCGGCCACAUUGGGACUGAGACACGGCCCAGACUCCUACGGGAGGCAGCAGUAGGGAAUCUUCCACAAUGGACGCAAGUCUGAUGGAGCAACGCCGCGUGAGUGAAGAAGGGUUUCGGCUCGUAAAGCUCUGUUGUUAAAGAAGAACGUGGGUAAGAGUAACUGUUUACCCAGUGACGGUAUUUAACCAGAAAGCCACGGCUAACUACGUGCCAGCAGCCGCGGUAAUACGUAGGUGGCAAGCGUUAUCCGGAUUUAUUGGGCGUAAAGCGAGCGCAGGCGGUCUUUUAAGUCUAAUGUGAAAGCCUUCGGCUCAACCGAAGAAGUGCAUUGGAAACUGGGAGACUUGAGUGCAGAAGAGGACAGUGGAACUCCAUGUGUAGCGGUGAAAUGCGUAGAUAUAUGGAAGAACACCAGUGGCGAAGGCGGCUGUCUGGUCUGCAACUGACGCUGAGGCUCGAAAGCAUGGGUAGCGAACAGGAUUAGAUACCCUGGUAGUCCAUGCCGUAAACGAUGAUUACUAAGUGUUGGAGGGUUUCCGCCCUUCAGUGCUGCAGCUAACGCAUUAAGUAAUCCGCCUGGGGAGUACGACCGCAAGGUUGAAACUCAAAAGAAUUGACGGGGGCCCGCACAAGCGGUGGAGCAUGUGGUUUAAUUCGAAGCUACGCGAAGAACCUUACCAGGUCUUGACAUCUUCUGACAGUCUAAGAGAUUAGAGGUUCCCUUCGGGGACAGAAUGACAGGUGGUGCAUGGUUGUCGUCAGCUCGUGUCGUGAGAUGUUGGGUUAAGUCCCGCAACGAGCGCAACCCUUAUUACUAGUUGCCAGCAUUAAGUUGGGCACUCUAGUGAGACUGCCGGUGACAAACCGGAGGAAGGUGGGGACGACGUCAAAUCAUCAUGCCCCUUAUGACCUGGGCUACACACGUGCUACAAUGGAUGGUACAACGAGUCGCGAAACCGCGAGGUUAAGCUAAUCUCUUAAAACCAUUCUCAGUUCGGACUGUAGGCUGCAACUCGCCUACACGAAGUCGGAAUCGCUAGUAAUCGCGGAUCAGCAUGCCGCGGUGAAUACGUUCCCGGGCCUUGUACACACCGCCCGUCACACCAUGAGAGUUUGUAACACCCAAAGCCGGUGG